Molecule: ribosomal RNA, 543 nt
Filed under: uncultured eukaryote
Lineage: Eukaryota
Description: SSU rRNA
Rfam family: Eukaryotic small subunit ribosomal RNA
Source: RNAcentral
UGUAGUCAUAUGCUUGUCUCAAAGAUUAAGCCAUGCAUGUCUAAGUAUAAGCAAUUACAAAGCGAAACUGCGAAUGGCUCAUUAUAUAAGUUAUCGUUUAUUUGAUAGUACCUUACUACAUGGAUAACCGUGGUAAUUCUAGAGCUAAUACAUGCUGAAAAUCCCGACUUCGGAAGGGAUGUAUUUAUUAGAUACAAAACCAAUGCCCUUCGGGGCUCUCUUGGUGAUUCAUGAUAACUUCUCGAAUCGCACGGCCCCGCGCCGGCGAUGGUUCAUUCAAAUUUCUUCCCUAUCAACUUUCGAUGCUACGGUAUUGUCCUAGCAUGGUUGCAACGGGAGACGGAGGGUUAGGGCUCGACCCCGGAGAAGGAGCCUGAGAAACGGCUACUACAUCCAAGGAAGGCAGCAGGCGCGCAAAUUACCCAAUCCCGAUACGGGGAGGUAGUGACGAUAAAUACCGAUACAGGGCUCUUUUGGGUCCUGUAAUUGGAAUGAGUACAAUUCAAAUCCCUUAACGAGGAACAAUUGGAGGGCAAGUCUGGU